RNAcentral lists this ribosomal RNA (553 nucleotides) under uncultured Sphingomonas sp. RNAcentral describes it as "bacterial SSU rRNA". It matches the Rfam family "Bacterial small subunit ribosomal RNA", at positions 40 to 640 of the family's 1533-position model. Lineage: Bacteria; Pseudomonadati; Pseudomonadota; Alphaproteobacteria; Sphingomonadales; Sphingomonadaceae. The record is from RNAcentral.
GGGCAUGCUAACCAUGCAAUGUCGAACGAGAUCUUCGGAUCUAGUGGCGCACGGGUGCGUAACGCGUGGGAAUCUGCCCUUGGGUUCGGAAUAACUUCUGGAAACGGAAGCUAAUACCGGAUGAUGACGUAAGUCCAAAGAUUUAUCGCCCAAGGAUGAGCCCGCGUAGGAUUAGGUAGUUGGUGAGGUAAAGGCUCACCAAGCCGACGAUCCUUAGCUGGUCUGAGAGGAUGAUCAGCCACACUGGGACUGAGACACGGCCCAGACUCCUACGGGAGGCAGCAGUAGGGAAUAUUGGACAAUGGGCGAAAGCCUGAUCCAGCAAUGCCGCGUGAGUGAUGAAGGCCUUAGGGUUGUAAAGCUCUUUUACCCGGGAUGAUAAUGACAGUACCGGGAGAAUAAGCUCCGGCUAACUCCGUGCCAGCAGCCGCGGUAAUACGGAGGGAGCUAGCGUUGUACGGAAUUACUGGGCGUAAAGCGCACGUAGGCGGCUAUUCAAGUCAGAGGUGAAAGCCCGGGGCUCAAACCCGGAACUGCCUUUGAAACUAGAUAG